Long non-coding RNA from Branchiostoma floridae (Florida lancelet), 276 nucleotides. RefSeq lists it as uncharacterized. The transcript has 3 exons. Lineage: Eukaryota; Metazoa; Chordata; Leptocardii; Amphioxiformes; Branchiostomatidae. The record is from RefSeq and is a predicted model, not a curated record.
CCAGCAGCGGCACAGGGGAAACACAUGGGGUGAAGAGAAAAGCAGAGGCGGAUCCCGUUCCCCCAACAACGCCCCUCUUGACCCCAUCUGACCCCACCCUGGAGGUCCAGCCUCAGGAGGGCAGCAACAAGAUGAGGAUCAAGAUCAAGCUUGGAGGAGGAGGAGGGAAGCCACCAGAAGAGCAGGCAGCAGCCAGUCCUGAGGUGCAGAAACAGCAACAAGAGCAGCCAACGACACCCCAGGUCGGGCUGCCUCCAGAGAUAGCUGCCAACAAAG